RNAcentral lists this ribosomal RNA (409 nucleotides) under Althepus sp. 272 FL-2018. RNAcentral describes it as "partial 16S ribosomal RNA". It matches the Rfam family "Bacterial large subunit ribosomal RNA", at positions 1858 to 2601 of the family's 2925-position model. Lineage: Eukaryota; Metazoa; Arthropoda; Arachnida; Araneae; Ochyroceratidae. The record is from RNAcentral.
CCUGCUCCAUGAUAUAAAUAGCCGCUAUUAUAUAGUGCUAAGGUAGCAUAAUCACUUGUCUUUUAAUUUGAGAAUAGAAUGAAUGGAUAAACGAAUUAAAAACUUUAUUUAAAUUAAUUUAUAAAACUAAUAUAAGAGUAAAAAAGCUUUUUAGAAAAGAAAAGACGACAAGACCCUAAAGAACUUUACUAAAAGUUAAGCUGGGGAGGCUACAAAAUAUAAAAACUAUCAAAUAAUAAAAAUACCUAUUCAUUAAAUAUAUAAAUAUAAGUUACCUUAGGGAUAACAGAAUAAUUAAGACAAAGAGAUCUUAUCAAUAUCUAUUAAUUAUUACCUCGAUGUUGAAUUACUUAACAAAUAAAAGCAAAUUUUUAACUAGUAAGUCUGUUCGACUUUUAAAUAAGUACAU